Molecule: long non-coding RNA, 1239 nt
Organism: Mangifera indica (mango)
Lineage: Eukaryota; Viridiplantae; Streptophyta; Magnoliopsida; Sapindales; Anacardiaceae
Exons: 6
Source: RefSeq, a predicted model, not a curated record
AUCUUCAGGCUGUAAAGUUGGAACCCUUUUGUCCUUGCUUGUGAUUUGCCUAUGGUCUUUCUUAAUAUACUUUCCUAGCCUUUUCCCUUUUCUCUCACAAUUUCUUUCAUUUUCCCUUCCUUUUUUCUGGUACCUAGUUAAGCUCUAGCUUUUCAUUUCUAAGUGCACCCCACAUGAGAUCUUAUUUCAGGUAUUUUUGCUUUUAUAUUAGUUUGAAACUCCCUCAAAAGUAACAAACAAUUAGAAAUUUGCAGUGUCUGAGCUUUGGGGAUUUCAUGGAGCUUUUCAAGGACCUGGUAAUUGUAAGUCUUCACCAGGGAGAUAGAGCUCAAAUCAACUGAAGUCUCAUCAGCUCCACCGGUUUCACGGCACCACCAAAUUUGAUCACUUUCGGAGAUUCAUCAACAUGCGGCAUGGAUCAGGAUUGAGGCCUCUUGUUUAUUUCACAGACUCUAUCAGGCGUCCAUUAUUUACGAAGUCAUCAGCAAAAUCUUACCGUCUAUUCAUCUUCUUCUUCGCCCUCGCCGUCGGCGCGUUAGUUUCCACGCGCUUGCUCGACACCACUCCUCAGUCCGGUCUCUUCAAGCCCAGAUGUUAUUACAUCUGACAUCUAGCAAAUCAGCAAUUGACAACGACCCAGCGACGACCGAUCAAGUAGUGACCAACCGAGGAAAACAGACGAGAUUGUACGAUGAUAACCAAAAGGAAGAACGAUCGACAGACGCCGAGGAGAAACGAAAUCCGACCGACCGAGACCGAGCGAUCAACUGAGAGGAUGAUCGACUGACCAAUGACGAUGAGAGACAAUAUCCGACAGAGAAUCGAACUGAAAUUAUAUGGCCUCAGCUGCAUUCAUCAAGCCUCUCCCUGUAAUAGAGUUUGUUACGCAGCUUCUAUGCUAAGAUGUGCUGUGUAGGACAUUAUCUGAUUCUGAUUUUGUGAAGGAAUGCAAAGAGCUGUUGUAAUUAGUCUAUUUGACAGAUCAAUAACGCAGGCACUAAUAAAGGUUUCAGACCUUUAAUGCAGUUUACUGAUGGAGAUAUUAAGCAGGAACCUGGAGAUUUGCGUGCGGCCUGACUGACUGCUACGGGUGCGGAAUGUGGCUUCCAGAGAAAUGGGAUUUGCUUGAGGACUGUUUUGUGUUUUGCUUCCAAUGUAACAGUGAAUAAUUGCUGAAAACAGAAUGCUAUUGAAUGCUAUGUGAUAUUCUGAUUGAAAUAAAAUUCAUUAAGAAGCAAA